UACGGGGGGGGCAAGCGUUGUUCGGAAUUACUGGGCGUAAAGGGCUCGUAGGCGGCCAACUAAGUCAGACGUGAAAUCCCCAGGCUUAACCUGGGAACUGCGUCUGAUACUGGAUGGCUUGAAUUCGGGAGAGGGAUGCAGAAUCCCAGGUGUAGCGGUGAAAUGCGUAGAUAUCUGGAGGAAUACCGGUGGCGAAGGCGGCAUCCUGGACCGACAUUGACGCUGAGGAGCGAAAGCUAGGGGAGCAAACGGG
RNAcentral lists this ribosomal RNA (253 nucleotides) under uncultured bacterium. RNAcentral describes it as "partial 16S ribosomal RNA". It matches the Rfam family "Bacterial small subunit ribosomal RNA", at positions 524 to 776 of the family's 1533-position model. The record is from RNAcentral.